GCUGGCGGCGUGCCUAACACAUGCAAGUCGUGCGAGAAAGUUUCCUUCGGGGAGCUAGUAAAGCGGCGCACGGGUGAGUAACACGUAGGUAAUCUACCUCUAAGUCCGGAAUAACCAGCUGAAAGGCUGGCUAAUGCCGGAUAAGACCACGGCCUCUGCGGGGGCCGCGGCCAAAGGUGGCCUCUUCAUGAAAGCUAUUGCUGAGAGAUGAGCCUGCGUACCAUUAGCUAGUUGGUGAGGUAACGGCUCACCAAGGCUGUGAUGGUUAGCUGGUCUGAGAGGAUGACCAGCCACACUGGGACUGAGACACGGCCCAGACUCCUACGGGAGGCAGCAGUGGGGAAUAUUGCGCAAUGGGGGAAACCCUGACGCAGCGACGCCGCGUGGGUGAUGAAGGCCUUCGGGUCGUAAAGCCCUGUCGUAGGGGAAGAACUGGUUGCAGGCUAAUAUCCUGCAGCCUUGACGGUACCCUACAAGAAAGCACCGGCUAACUCCGUGCCAGCAGCCGCGGUAA
This 514-nucleotide ribosomal RNA is filed under the name uncultured delta proteobacterium. Its description in RNAcentral is "bacterial SSU rRNA". It matches the Rfam family "Bacterial small subunit ribosomal RNA", at positions 35 to 523 of the family's 1533-position model. Lineage: Bacteria; Deltaproteobacteria. The record is from RNAcentral.